AUUCGUUGAAAACCACCCCUGGCCUUGGUUGUGGCCUGGGUUAAGAUUUGGCACCCAGAGCCACCAGGGACCUCAGCUCACCUCAAGCUGCCAUGUUGUGGGAGGGUGAAACCCAGGCUCCAUCAAGC
Molecule: small nucleolar RNA, 128 nt
Organism: Nannospalax galili (Upper Galilee mountains blind mole rat)
Lineage: Eukaryota; Metazoa; Chordata; Mammalia; Rodentia; Spalacidae
Source: Ensembl